AGAACGAACGCUGGCGGCAUGCCUAACACAUGCAAGUCGAACGAGACCUUCGGGUCUAGUGGCGCACGGGUGCGUAACGCGUGGGAAUCUGCCCUUGGGUUCGGAAUAACAGCGAGAAAUUGCUGCUAAUACCGGAUGAUGACGUAAGUCCAAAGAUUUAUCGCCAAGGGAUGAGCCCGCGUAGGAUUAGCUAGUUGGUGAGGUAAAGGCUCACCAAGGCAACGAUCCUUAGCUGGUCUGAGAGGAUGAUCAGCCACACUGGGACUGAGACACGGCCCAGACUCCUACGGGAGGCAGCAGUAGGGAAUAUUGGACAAUGGGCGAAAGCCUGAUCCAGCAAUGCCGCGUGAGUGGUGAAGGCCUUAGGGUUGUAAAGCUCUUUACCCGAGAUGAUAAUGACAGUAUCGGAGAAUAAGCCCGGCUAACUCCGUGCCAGCAGCCGC
RNAcentral lists this ribosomal RNA (443 nucleotides) under uncultured soil bacterium. Its description in RNAcentral is "bacterial SSU rRNA". It matches the Rfam family "Bacterial small subunit ribosomal RNA", at positions 26 to 518 of the family's 1533-position model. The record is from RNAcentral.